This 62-nucleotide transfer RNA is filed under the name Roxasellana stellata. Its description in RNAcentral is "tRNA-Asp". Lineage: Eukaryota; Metazoa; Arthropoda; Insecta; Hemiptera; Cicadellidae. The record is from RNAcentral.
AAGAAAUUAGUUUAUAAAAAACAUUAAUUUGUCAAAUUAAAAAUAUUUAGUAAUAUUUCUUU